AGCAGCCGCGGUAAUUCCAGCUCCAAUAGCGUAUAUUAAAGUUGUUGCAGUUAAAAAGCUCGUAGUUGAAUUUCGGGAUCAAUUUAUUGGUCGUGCUAUUGUACGUACUGGUAUUAUUGAUUCCUACCUUCUGACGAACCAUGAUGUCAUUAAUUUGGUGUCAUGGGGAAUCAGGACUGUUACUUUGAAAAAAUUAGAGUGUUUAAAGCAGGCUCACGCUUGAAUACAUUAGCAUGGAAUAACGAAAUAGGACGUUUGAUUCUAUUUUGUUGGUUUCUAGGAUCGACGUAAUGAUUAAUAGGGAUAGUUGGGGGCAUUAGUAUUCAAUUGUCAGAGGUGAAAUUCUUGGAUUUAUUGAAGACUAACUACUGACGAAAGCAUUUGCCAAGGAUGUUUCAUUAAUCAAGAACGAAAGUUAGGGAUCGAAGACGAUCAGAUACCGUCGUAGUC
This 450-nucleotide ribosomal RNA is filed under the name uncultured Glomus. RNAcentral's name for it is "SSU rRNA". It matches the Rfam family "Eukaryotic small subunit ribosomal RNA", at positions 569 to 1025 of the family's 1831-position model. The record is from RNAcentral. Lineage: Eukaryota; Fungi; Glomeromycota; Glomeromycetes; Glomerales; Glomeraceae.